AUUGAACGCUGGCGGCAUGCCUUACACAUGCAAGUCGAACGGUAACAGGUUAAGCUGUCGAGUGGCGAACGGGUGAGUAAUACAUCGGUACGUGCCCAGUAGUGGGGGAUAGCCCGGCGAAAGCCGGAUUAAUACCGCAUACGACCUAAGGGGGAAAGGGGGGGAUCGCAAGACCUCUCGCUAUUGGAGCGGCCGAUGUCAGAUUAGCUAGUUGGUGGGGUAAAAGCUCACCAAGGCGACGAUCUGUAGCUGGUCUGAGAGGACGACCAGCCACACUGGGACUGAGACACGGCCCAGACUCCUACGGGAGGCAGCAGUGGGGAAUUUUGGACAAUGGGCGCAAGCCUGAUCCAGCCAUGCCGCGUGCGGGAAGAAGGCCUUCGGGUUGUAAACCGCUUUUGUCAGGGAAGAAAUCCUUUGGGUUAAUACCUCGGGGGGAUGACGGUACCUGAAGAAUAAGCACCGGCUAACUACGUG
RNAcentral lists this ribosomal RNA (477 nucleotides) under uncultured bacterium. Its description in RNAcentral is "partial 16S ribosomal RNA". It matches the Rfam family "Bacterial small subunit ribosomal RNA", at positions 30 to 507 of the family's 1533-position model. The record is from RNAcentral.